This 812-nucleotide ribosomal RNA is filed under the name bacterium. RNAcentral describes it as "bacterial SSU rRNA". It matches the Rfam family "Bacterial small subunit ribosomal RNA", at positions 71 to 894 of the family's 1533-position model. The record is from RNAcentral.
AGGAGGAGCUUGCUCCUCCGGAUUAGUGGCGAACGGGUGAGUAAUACGUGAGCAAUGUGCCCUUGACUCUGGGAUAAGCGCUGGAAACGGCGUCUAAUACCGGAUACGACGAUCGGAGGCAUCUCCUGGUCGUGGAAAGAACUUCGGUCAAGGAUCAGCUCACGGCCUAUCAGCUUGUUGGUGAGGUAAUGGCUCACCAAGGCGACGACGGGUAGCCGGCCUGAGAGGGUGACCGGCCACACUGGGACUGAGACACGGCCCAGACUCCUACGGGAGGCAGCAGUGGGGAAUAUUGCACAAUGGGCGCAAGCCUGAUGCAGCAACGCCGCGUGAGGGACGAAGGCCUUCGGGUUGUAAACCUCUUUUAGCAGGGAAGAAGCGAGAGUGACGGUACCUGCAGAAAAAGCACCGGCUAACUACGUGCCAGCAGCCGCGGUAAUACGUAGGGUGCAAGCGUUGUCCGGAAUUAUUGGGCGUAAAGAGCUCGUAGGCGGUUUGUCGCGUCUGCUGUGAAAACCCGAGGCUCAACCUCGGGCUUGCAGUGGGUACGGGCAGACUAGAGUGCGGUAGGGGAGAUUGGAAUUCCUGGUGUAGCGGUGGAAUGCGCAGAUAUCAGGAGGAACACCGAUGGCGAAGGCAGAUCUCUGGGCCGUAACUGACGCUGAGGAGCGAAAGCAUGGGGAGCAAACAGGCUUAGAUACCCUGGUAGUCCAUGCCCGUAAACGUUGGGAACUAGAUGUGGGGACCAUUCCACGGUCUCCGUGUCUAGCUAACGCAUUAAGUUCCCCGCCUGGGGAGUACGGCCGCAGGGU